GUGGGGAAUAUUGGACAAUGGGCGAAAGCCUGAUCCAGCCAUGCCGCGUGUGUGAAGAAGGUCUUCGGAUUGUAAAGCACUUUAAGUUGGGAGGAAGGGCAGUAAGUUAAUACCUUGCUGUUUUGACGUUACCGACAGAAUAAGCACCGGCUAACUUCGUGCCAGCAGCCGCGGUAAUACGAAGGGUGCAAGCGUUAAUCGGAAUUACUGGGCGUAAAGCGCGCGUAGGUGGUUUUGUAAGUUGGAGGUGAAAUCCCCGGGCUCAACCUGGGAACUGCCUCCAAAACUGCAUGACUAGAGUACGGUAGAGGGUAGUGGAAUUUCCUGUGUAGCGGUGAAAUGCGUAGAUAUAGGAAGGAACACCAGUGGCGAAGGCGACUACCUGGACUGAUACUGACACUGAGGUGCGAAAGCGUGGGGAGCAAACAGGAUUAGAAACCCCAGAAGUCC
RNAcentral lists this ribosomal RNA (450 nucleotides) under uncultured bacterium. Its description in RNAcentral is "bacterial SSU rRNA". It matches the Rfam family "Bacterial small subunit ribosomal RNA", at positions 354 to 796 of the family's 1533-position model. The record is from RNAcentral.